AGAGUUUGAUCAUGGCUCAGAUUGAACGCUGGCGGCAGGCUUAACACAUGCAAGUCGAACGGUAACAGAACUAGCUUGCUAGUUGCUGACGAGUGGCGGACGGGUGAGUAACGCGUAGGAAUCUACCGAAUAGUGGGGGACAACAGUUGGAAACGGCUGCUAAUACCGCAUACGCCCUACGGGGGAAAGGAGGGGAUCUUCGGACCUUUCGCUAUUUGAUGAGCCUGCGUGAGAUUAGUUAGUUGGUGGGGUAAUGGCUCACCAAGGCGACGAUCUCUAGCUGGUCUGAGAGGAUGAUCAGCCACACUGGGACUGAGACACGGCCCAGACUCCUACGGGAGGCAGCAGUGGGGAAUAUUGCACAAUGGGGGAAACCCUGAUGCAGCCAUGCCGCGUGUGUGAAGAAGGCCUUCGGGUUGUAAAGCACUUUCAGUUGUGAGG
RNAcentral lists this ribosomal RNA (441 nucleotides) under uncultured bacterium. RNAcentral's name for it is "bacterial SSU rRNA". It matches the Rfam family "Bacterial small subunit ribosomal RNA", at positions 8 to 447 of the family's 1533-position model. The record is from RNAcentral.